GCCUUGGCCAGGUCGAUGAAAACAGCUGCACAGUACUAUAUUUUAUCUAUGGAGGUUAUGAUAUCAUUUAGGACCUUGAGCGUGGCUGAGGUGCACCCGUGACCAGCUCGGAAACCAGAUUGCAUAGCGGAGAAGCUGUCAGGGCCAACCCUCCUACCACGACCAGCACUACAAGCCAGAUGGUCAGCCUGGAAUUCAGCUAUCAGCUUGAAUCCUUUGGAUGGGUCAUCGUUGGUCCCUGACGGCUUCCCUCAUGAGAAGAAAGGAGUAUGGUACCAUGAGGGUCAUCCACCUAAUGUCCAUGUCCUCACCAGCACCACAAGCCAUUCAGUCAGCCGGGAAUGCGCACACUGGCUUGAAGAUGAACAGGCACGGCUGACUUCAAUAAACUCGUUAAGGGUGUGGCUGGCUACUCAAUUAGGCGCCACACUUAUCAACUGCUGGUUUCCCCUCACGGGGAAGAGGAC
This 467-nucleotide long non-coding RNA is filed under the name Salmo salar (Atlantic salmon). RNAcentral describes it as "lncRNA (ENSSSAG00000118973.1)". The record is from RNAcentral. Lineage: Eukaryota; Metazoa; Chordata; Actinopteri; Salmoniformes; Salmonidae.